RNAcentral lists this unclassified non-coding RNA (221 nucleotides) under rhizosphere metagenome. RNAcentral's name for it is "partial ribosomal RNA internal transcribed spacer region". The record is from RNAcentral.
GUAGGUGAACCUGCGGAAGGAUCAUUAUAGAGAUUUUUUGGCCUCAGGUCAAUGUCUCCGUCCUCAUGUCAAACUCUUUACGCUUGCUUUCGGCGGAAGUGUCGGCCCCGUGACAGGGAGCCGACCGCCGUCGGUCUUUUUUUCCCAACCCUUUUGAAGCAUGAAGUCUGAACCAAACCAAAACAAAUACAAAACUUUCAACAACGGAUCUCUUGGCUCUG